Molecule: ribosomal RNA, 305 nt
Filed under: uncultured bacterium
Lineage: Bacteria
Description: partial 16S ribosomal RNA
Rfam family: Bacterial small subunit ribosomal RNA
Source: RNAcentral
ACAGCAGUAGCCACGGGAAUACGUAGGUGGCAAGCGUUGUCCGGAAUUAUUGGGCGUAAAGCGCGCGCAGGCGGUUUCUUAAGUCUGAUGUGAAAGCCCCCGGCUUAACCGGGGAGGGUCAUUGGAAACUGGGAGACUUAGAGUGCAGAAGAGGAGAGUGGAAUUCCAUGUGUAGCGGUGAAAUGCGUAGAUGUAUGGAGGAACACCAGUGGCGAAGGCGACUCUCUGGUCUGUAACUGACGCUGAGGCGCGAAAGCGUGGGGAGCAAACAGGAUUAGAUACCCCUGUAGUCCCUGUCUCUUAUA